This is a long non-coding RNA of Syngnathus typhle (broad-nosed pipefish), 1072 nucleotides long. RefSeq lists it as uncharacterized. The transcript is spliced from 3 exons. The record is from RefSeq and is a predicted model, not a curated record. Lineage: Eukaryota; Metazoa; Chordata; Actinopteri; Syngnathiformes; Syngnathidae.
GGCUGUAUUCGCUGAGCGUGGGUGGCUAGAUGACAGGACUCUUCUGGAGCGGACGGCUGCUGCUGCAAAAGCGGAAUAGGACUGACUGGACAAGGACUGAAUCACCAGGAAACGGGGAGUCAAGCUUUCUAAGAUCGAUGCGAACAAGGACAUGACAAGACAAGCUGACAACUGGAGUUGCGCUGGUCACGGCGGCUCGGUGGCGCACUGGAUAGCACGUCCGCCUCACAGUUAGGAGGGUGUGGGUUCUAUUCCACCUCCGGCCCACCCUGUGUGGAGUUUGCAUGUUCUCCCCGGGCCCGUGUGGGUUUUCUCCGGGCACACCGGAUUCCUCCCAAAUCCCCAAAACAUGCAUGGGUGUCCCCCGCCUACUGCCCAAUGACGGCUGGAAUAGGUUCCAGCACACCCGCGACCACCGUGGGGACUAAGCGGUUCAGAAAAUGAUGGCAUGGCAUGGUAUGAGGCAUACUGAUGUUUACUGUUUGCAUGAACAAUAUGUCAAAGGACAGAAUAGUAGGACACUUUUAGUAGGGAGUUUUGUGAUCUCAUGUGUGAAGGAGCGUAAUGGAACAGGUCCUGCAUUCAAGACACACAUUUAAUAUUAAAUAAUGUCUAAUUUACUAUGUUGUCGUAGUUAAGAGGCCAAAUAUUUGAUGUAACAUUUCCUCGGCUUGAAAUCAUAGAAGCAGUAAACCUAAACCAAAGUAAUUCUACAAAUGUUACAGAUUGCAAUAGUUGUUGUUGGUCUACUUUCUCUCCCAAGAGGCAGAGGUUGGUGGGGAGCAAAGACCUAUUCUCCAUUCAUGAUCAAAUCUUUACUGAGAGGUCCAACUCGUACCCGUUUUUUAGAGAAAUAGAAGCAGCAGAGCGGGACAGGGCUCGCCGGGGUGUCUUUUUGAAAGUGUCCAUCCAGCCUGUUGACGAAGACCUGCACAAAGCAUCAGUCAGCUGAAAGCUGCCUGUUGUCCACCUAAUCCUCACCGUGGCCCUGUUGCCAUUGACAACACCAGCAAACAAGAGACUCUUUCAGAAGUUGUUUUUUUCCACUGACACACUAACAGAAUGACAAUAA